RNAcentral lists this long non-coding RNA (264 nucleotides) under Ananas comosus (pineapple). Its description in RNAcentral is "long non-coding RNA (ACOM_LNC016929)". The record is from RNAcentral. Lineage: Eukaryota; Viridiplantae; Streptophyta; Magnoliopsida; Poales; Bromeliaceae.
AAUAUUGGAAAUCAAUAUUAUUAAAUUUGAACUUAAAAUCUCAAUUUAAAUUUAAAUUUAAACAAAAAAUUUAAACUUAAAUUUAAAUUUAAAAUAAAAUUUAAAUUUAAAUUUUUACUUUGAAUUCGAAACCUAAAUUACAUUUAAAAUUUAAAUUCAAAAUCAAAAUAUAAAUUUAAAUUUGAAAGUUUGAAUUCAAAAUAUGAAUGUAAAUUGAAAUUUGAAUUUCAUAUUAAAUUUGAAUUCAAAAUUUAAAUGAAUUUA